CGCGAACUCGGAUUCCACCUGAGGAUGUCAGAUGACAAAAACCUGUGUAGUUUCCAAGAUAGGAUUUUCCUGGCCUGGGAGUCCUUUGGCGGUGCUUGGUAGAACCUGAUAAUUUAACAGCGCCCAAGAGUGUUCUUUCACCUUAUGAACGUAUGUCCUACCUCCAGGUGCUGGGAGUGCUGUGAGCAGAGAGGAAAAACAGAAUCAAGCGGAGGGCAAUAGAAUUCCAGAGCUGAUACGUCUAAGCCACUGAGAUAUUGUUAAUUGGCGAAGACAGAUGCAGAGAGGAGCUCAGACAGAAGGAGCUGAGAUUUUCUAUUCCUCAUCUGAAGGUGCCUGGGUUCCAGGAGAUCCACCCCGGAAACCUGGCCAAUUAGCUGUCGAUGUCGCUCAAGAUCAAAACACCACCUGUGAGUUUUUAUAGUCUAGCAGACACUCAUAUUUUCUAAUUAUGAUCUGUUGUUGGAGGGUGAGAGUAAUAAACCCACAUGCAGCAGAGAGGGUUGGCUGUGG
Molecule: long non-coding RNA, 513 nt
Filed under: Sus scrofa (pig)
Lineage: Eukaryota; Metazoa; Chordata; Mammalia; Artiodactyla; Suidae
Description: lncRNA (ENSSSCG00070007216.1)
Source: RNAcentral